RNAcentral lists this transfer RNA (72 nucleotides) under Camelus bactrianus (Bactrian camel). It matches the Rfam family "tRNA". Rfam says of the family: Transfer RNA (tRNA) molecules are approximately 80 nucleotides in length. RNAcentral also lists the same sequence under 2 other names. Lineage: Eukaryota; Metazoa; Chordata; Mammalia; Artiodactyla; Camelidae. The record is from Rfam by way of RNAcentral.
GAGGGUAUAGCUCAGUGGUAGAAUGUGUGCUUAGCAUGCAAGAGGUGCUGGGUUCAAUCCCCAGUACCUCCA